UUGACUAUGCUUUCAGGGGUCAUUUCUCUAGUUGGCGACUGGAGAAGGGUGGCUGUGAAAAGCUGAUCUUGCUAAUCACAAUGAGGAGUUAUAGCAUUUCCUUCUGAACAUGAAAAUGGCAGAGACUGCUGUUCCAUGUCAGCUGCUUUCUGCUGUGGAAGAGUGUCUUGCUCUUCCUGAGAAGAGUGGGGGAAGGGUGCAUAGUCUGAGUGGU
This 214-nucleotide small nucleolar RNA is filed under the name Terrapene triunguis (Three-toed box turtle). RNAcentral describes it as "Terrapene carolina triunguis (Three-toed box turtle) Small nucleolar RNA U3 (ENSTMTG00000015225.1)". It matches the Rfam family "Small nucleolar RNA U3". Rfam says of the family: Small nucleolar RNAs (snoRNAs) are involved in the processing and modification of rRNA in the nucleolus. There are two main classes of snoRNAs: the box C/D class, and the box H/ACA class. The record is from Rfam by way of RNAcentral. Lineage: Eukaryota; Metazoa; Chordata; Testudines; Emydidae.